GGGGAUAUAGUUCAAAUGGCAGAACAUACGCCUUGCAAGUGUAAGAUUCGGGAUCGAUACCCGGUAUCUCCA
Molecule: transfer RNA, 72 nt
Filed under: Lentisphaerota bacterium
Lineage: Bacteria; Pseudomonadati; Lentisphaerota
Description: Lentisphaerae bacterium (invertebrate metagenome) tRNA-Ala
Rfam family: tRNA
About the family: Transfer RNA (tRNA) molecules are approximately 80 nucleotides in length. Their secondary structure includes four short double-helical elements and three loops (D, anti-codon, and T loops).
Source: RNAcentral